GAUGAACGCUGGCGGCGUGCUUAACACAUGCAAGUCGAACGGUGAACACGGAGCUUGCUCUGUGGGAUCAGUGGCGAACGGGUGAGUAACACGUGAGCAACCUGCCCCUGACUCUGGGAUAAGCGCUGGAAACGGCGUCUAAUACUGGAUAUGUGACGUGACCGCAUGGUCUGCGUUUGGAAAGAUUUUUCGGUUGGGGAUGGGCUCGCGGCCUAUCAGCUUGUUGGUGAGGUAAUGGCUCACCAAGGCGUCGACGGGUAGCCGGCCUGAGAGGGUGACCGGCCACACUGGGACUGAGACACGGCCCAGACUCCUACGGGAGGCAGCAGUGGGGAAUAUUGCACAAUGGGCGCAAGCCUGAUGCAGCAACGCCGCGUAAGGGAUGACGGCCUUCGGGUUGUAAACCUCUUUUAGCAGGGAAGAAGCGAAAGUGACGGUACCUGCAGAAAAAGCGCCGGCUAACUACGUG
This 469-nucleotide ribosomal RNA is filed under the name uncultured bacterium. Its description in RNAcentral is "partial 16S ribosomal RNA". It matches the Rfam family "Bacterial small subunit ribosomal RNA", at positions 28 to 507 of the family's 1533-position model. The record is from RNAcentral.